Non-coding RNA from Oryctolagus cuniculus (rabbit), 722 nucleotides. NCBI's taxonomy places the organism in Eukaryota, Metazoa, Chordata, Mammalia, Lagomorpha, Leporidae. The record is from RefSeq and is a predicted model, not a curated record.
GCCUCCGGCCUGGAGUCUCGGGGAGAGGAGGGUGGAGGCGGUGUUUUCAGCGGGAGCGCGAAUCUGCGAGGAGAAAGAGCGAGAAAAAAGAUGUAAUCUUCAGUUCUUAGUGUAUCUGUGGUUUUGACUGAAGCAUCUGCAAGUGUUCAGUCCUCUAGCUAUGGACCUUGGAGAGGACCCUACUGAAUGGUAUUAAUCCAGAGCUUGUUCAGUCUCAGGAGGCCAGCUGCCACACUGUGAGCCUCCCUGUGCAAAGGUUCACUCGGCAAGGAAUGGUCAGCAACCAGCAGCUGCCAAGGAACUGAGGCCCUGAGACCACAACCAGCAAUGAAUCCUGCCAACAACCACAUGAACAAGUUUAGCAAUGAAACUUUCCCUGGCCAACAACAUGACUGUAGCUUUUUGGAGCCCCUGAAGCAGAAGACCCAGCUAAACCAUGGCUGACUCACAAAAUCUGUGAGCUAGCAAACAUUUGUUUCAAGUCACUGGAUUUUGGGGUAAUUUGUUGCAUAGUCAUACAUAAUAUAUACUGUCUACAUUAACCAACAGGAGACUCUCACUCAUAGUGAUUCCUGUUUUACAGUUUUAAGUCUGGAAAGCACCCACAUUUGUACUUUUGAAUAAGAAGUGAGUACAAAACCUUACUGAACAACUCUGGCAGAAAAUAAGUAUUACACAGCAGAAUGGUGGAAAGCAGAGAACUUCUACAGGCACAAAUUGUA